RNAcentral lists this small nuclear RNA (107 nucleotides) under Propithecus coquereli (Coquerel's sifaka). Lineage: Eukaryota; Metazoa; Chordata; Mammalia; Primates; Indriidae. The record is from RNAcentral.
GUGCUCGCUUUGGCAGCACAUAUACUAAAAUUGGAACGAUACAGAGAAGAUUAGCAUGGCCCCUGCACAAGGAUGACACACAAAUUUGUGAAGCGUUCUGUAUUUUU